CUGCAUACCAGUAGACCCUUUCUGGCUGGCCUCUUAGCCAUAAAGGGGGGACAGCGUAUGCAACAGUAAACAGUUAAGUUGCCAGCAGACUCAUUCAGACAAGCCUAUGGCUGAUUGGCCUGCGGUACUUAAACAGAA
Chelonoidis abingdonii (Abingdon island giant tortoise) is the source of this 138-nucleotide small nucleolar RNA. Lineage: Eukaryota; Metazoa; Chordata; Testudines; Testudinidae. The record is from Ensembl.